AAGUCGUAACAAGGUUUCCGUAGGUGAACCUGCGGAAGGAUCAUUAAUGAGAUCAUGCCCCUCGGGGUAGACCUCCCACCCCCGUUUACCGUACCCGUUGCUUUGGCGGCCCGUCGAAGACGGGCCGCCAAGGACCUUUAAAACCCGAUUUCAUUGUCGUCUGAGUACUAUACAAUAGUUAAAA
RNAcentral lists this unclassified non-coding RNA (184 nucleotides) under plant metagenome. RNAcentral's name for it is "partial contains small subunit ribosomal RNA and internal transcribed spacer 1". The stretch from base 1 to 46 matches the Rfam family "Eukaryotic small subunit ribosomal RNA", at positions 1786 to 1831 of the family's 1831-position model. The record is from RNAcentral.